UUUUUUAUUUUAAAAAAAAAAAAAGAGCCAUGAUGUGCCCUUGCUUGCUUCUGAAUGACAAAAGCGAGAUCAUUUGCUGUAGGAACUAACUAACCCAUAUAUAGACUUAUCAUUGUUCAAUGGACGGAUAAUGAAUUAUGUUUCUACUUUUCUCCAAUUGGAUAUCCUGCUCUAGUUUCCUUCCAAUUGGGUAUUUCGCUGAGAGUUUAUUUAAUUUAUUCCCUGCUUGAUGGUAGCACUUAAGGUCUUUUGUAUUUGAUACAGUAGUCAGCCGUUUGAUUUUAGGUUGUAGUAAAUGUUGUUGCCUAUUUUGCAAGGAACUAUGCAUCUUUUUUGGCUUUUGGGCUUUCUUCUAUGUUGGACCUUUUUUGGUAGCAUUAUCAUCUGGGUGGUUG
Molecule: unclassified non-coding RNA, 395 nt
Filed under: Hevea brasiliensis (rubber tree)
Lineage: Eukaryota; Viridiplantae; Streptophyta; Magnoliopsida; Malpighiales; Euphorbiaceae
Source: RNAcentral